RNAcentral lists this ribosomal RNA (52 nucleotides) under Streptococcus agalactiae GB00884. Its description in RNAcentral is "partial 16S ribosomal RNA". Lineage: Bacteria; Bacillati; Bacillota; Bacilli; Lactobacillales; Streptococcaceae. The record is from RNAcentral.
CUUUUAAUGAGAGUGUGAUCCUGGCUCAGGACGAACGCUGGCGGCGUGCCUA